CUCAGGAAUUUAUUUGGAUGUGUCUCUGCAUGGAGGUUGGAGUCCCCAAACUUCCAAUUCCUCUCUUUUCUCUCCUUUGCAUCUCUUGCAUCUGCCUCCUCUCGUCUUCUCUAUCUUCCCUUUGUCUUAACUUUUAAAGGGCCAGACUCUCUGUACGUCAUCAGUUGAUAACCCAAUAGAAGCACUAGAGGUGUGGUUAUCUUCCAGAUCGCAAAUUAGUUAUUUGGUCUGUAGAGGGCAGUCUUGUCCCACUAAACAUACCUAUCCAG
Molecule: non-coding RNA, 269 nt
Organism: Pelobates cultripes (western spadefoot toad)
Lineage: Eukaryota; Metazoa; Chordata; Amphibia; Anura; Pelobatidae
Source: the annotation of a GenBank genome assembly